CCUACGGGCGGCAGCAGUGGGGAAUAUUGCACAAUGGGGGGAACCCUGAUGCAGCGAAGCCGCGUGAGUGAAGAAGUAUUUCAGUAUGUAACGCUCUAUCAGCAGGGAAGCAAAUGACGGUACCUGACUAAGCAGCCCCGGGUAACUACGUGCCAGCAGCCGCGGUAAUACGUCGGGGGCAAGCGUUAUCCGGAUUUACUGGGUGUAAAGGGAGCGUAGACGGCAGAGCAAGUCUGAAGGGAAAGCCCGCGGCCCACAUGCGGGACUGCUUUUGAAACUGCCCGGCUAGAGUGCUAGAGAGGUAAGCGGAAUGCCUGGUGUAGCGGUGAAAUGCGUAGAUAUUAGGAGGAACACCAGUGGCGAAGGCAGCUUACUGGACAGUAACUGACGUUGAGGCUCGAAAGCGUGGGGAGCAAACAGGAUUAGAUACCCCUGUAGUC
RNAcentral lists this ribosomal RNA (440 nucleotides) under uncultured bacterium. Its description in RNAcentral is "partial 16S ribosomal RNA". It matches the Rfam family "Bacterial small subunit ribosomal RNA", at positions 338 to 795 of the family's 1533-position model. The record is from RNAcentral.